UUUUACUUGGAAAAGACAAUGUUCCAUACUAAAGGAUUCGAGUCCAUAACCACGAGUUCCAGUGCACUAGAUCUUGUAGCACUUAGCAACGAAGCCCUAUCCAUUAGUAUUCCACAUAAGAAAUCCAUUCUAGAAAAAAAUACAAUUAGAUUAGCUCUUCAUAGACAAACUUGGGGUUUGCGAGCCAAGGUAAGAUCGGCUCGGGAUCAUGGGACCCUUUUCUAUCAGAUAGGAGGGGCUCUUGUACAAAAUAGAUUACUAAGUAAUAACCCCAUAGAAUCUAUCUAUAUAAAGAUAUUGCAAAUUCUUCCUCAGCUAGUUAAAAAAAUGAAAUUGGCUGAUAUCAUGACGAUAUUAGGUAGUAUAGAUAUCAUUAUGUGUCUGGCAAUCUCGUCAUAUAUUUGA
RNAcentral lists this ribosomal RNA (405 nucleotides) under Triticum aestivum (bread wheat). Its description in RNAcentral is "partial small subunit ribosomal RNA". Lineage: Eukaryota; Viridiplantae; Streptophyta; Magnoliopsida; Poales; Poaceae. The record is from RNAcentral.